UAGGGAAUUUUCCACAAUGGGCGAGAGCCUGAUGGAGCAACGCCGCGUGCAGGAUGAAGGCCUUCGGGUCGUAAACUGCUUUUAUCUGUGACGAAUAUGACGGUAGCAGAAGAAUAAGGACCUGCUAACUACGUGCCAGCAGCCGCGGUCAUACGUAGGGUCCAAGCGUUAUCCGGAAUUACUGGGCGUAAAGAGUUGCGUAGGUGGCAAAGUAAGCAGCUAGUGAAAGCACCCCGCUCAACGGGGUAUACAUUAGCUGAACUGCUUAGCUAGAGGACAAGAGAGGUACUUGGAAUUCCUAGUGUAGGAGUGAAAUCCGUAGAUAUUAGGAGGAACACCAAUGGCGUAGGCAGAGUACUGGCUUGUUCCUGACACUAAGGCACGAAAGCGUGGGUAGCAAACGGGAUUAGAUACCCCUGUAGUCC
Molecule: ribosomal RNA, 425 nt
Filed under: uncultured bacterium
Lineage: Bacteria
Description: bacterial SSU rRNA
Rfam family: Bacterial small subunit ribosomal RNA
Source: RNAcentral